Long non-coding RNA from Equus caballus (horse), 3990 nucleotides. Lineage: Eukaryota; Metazoa; Chordata; Mammalia; Perissodactyla; Equidae. The record is from Ensembl.
GGAAAGGGAGCGGAUGAGAGGAGAAAUGUAACUUCAAGAUAAGGAUGCAAAUGUCAAGAAGCCACUGCUGUUGUGAGCUGCUACUCAGGCCUCUUGAUUGCAAAUGAUAAAAACCAAACUGGAACUAGUUUCGUGGAGAAGACUUUAUUGGAAGGAUGCUGUGGUGACUGACAUUGUAACAGAAUGGAAAUGGUGAUGCCUCAGAGGCAGCUAGGAUCAGGGCCCUGGAGCUAUCAGAGCACCAUCUCUCUGUCUAUCUUCAUUGCCUCUGUGUGUUGGUUUUAGUCUGUUCCACCACGAACCAGCUUCUUCCAUAUAAGGGAAGUGUCAUCCUUGAAUUUUCCCUAAACUCUUACAUUAUGGUCUUAUCUCCACAAAAGGAAUGUCCCUCUCCCUUAGGUUCAAUUUGAAAAAUUCCAGGAAGGUGGAUGAGCUCACCCUGGGCCAACUGAAGGAGACAAAAAAGGUGAGGUAUGAGGAUUAGCUAACACCACAUCGUUGGAGUGGGGAGGAAAGAUAGUUCUCUAGGAAAGAUAGAGUUUUAUUUUAAGAAGAAAGCAAGCUUGACAAGCCUAACAGUGCGUAUUCACCCUAUCAUCUGCUAUAAAAGUUCCUGGAUAAGGAUCUCCACGUGAAACAAUUGGAAAUUGAGAGUGAAGCCAUCUGAUGGUAACCAUGUCAGGUCAUACUUUGCCGCCUCCAGGACAUCUUCUGUUGAUUCUUCCACGCUGGGAUAGAUUUCCUCUCGUGACCAGCACAGUGCCUGAUACAGAGUAAACAUGGAAAGAGAAGAACCUGGAAGAAAAUUCCUCAUUGCCCUAGAGGUGAACCUGAACUUCCUUGCUCCCUGUCGUGGGUAUCCAGAGAACUUUGUUUUCCUGCUCUUGUCAACCUCAUGUUUAACCCUGCUGGUUUUCAUUUACUUUAUAAUUCAAUCAUAAUGAAUUUUAAAAUCCAUUCUAACUUCCAAGGAUCUCUAGAGACUUGCUUCAUCAGUCUGACAUCACGUUCAUUUACAUUUCUUAUUUUUUCGUUUCCUUGUAAGAGGUCUAAGCACUGUUCCAAUAAAACACUUUUAAGAUUGCAUUACACAUACUGUGUGCUAUUUAUUCCUGGCUACAUGUUCAAACUAACAAGCAAGAAAUUGCCUAUGCCCUGAUCAACUGUUAUAAACUGUAAUGCUAUAUCUGUUAUAAUUGAAAAAAAAAUUGGACCUGGACUAUUCUUUUGUAACCAUCUAAGCUAAUAGUUUACAUGGAAAAUAUUUAUACAAAAAUUGUAGCCAAUUCAAGUUCAAGGAGAUGUUACAGGCCAUUCAGCUUGAUCAUUCUCUCAAGAUGGUAAGUUCUUAGGUAUUUCCCAUGAUAAAUAAUCGUCUGUCUUUUGCCUGGCGUGUUCCAGGCAAAGAGAACACAUUAAUUCUAAAGUCAUCUUCUUCCUUUGGUGGGCAGUUCUUUUUGAUGGGAAAUUAUUUCUCAUAUUGAAUAUAACCCACUGCUCUCAAAAACAACAUAGGUUGGAGCUGAUCACCAUCUUCCGUGAUAGCCUUCAAAUAUUUGGAGACAGGUAUUUUGUUUCCUAAUAUGUUAUAAAUCGACAGAUUGUACUGGUGGAGCUCAGUACGUGGAAGGUACAUAAAUAUAAUUUAAUUCUAUUGUUUUACAGAUAAGUAAAAUAAACAGGAGGAGACGUUGAGUAACAUGCCCAACAUCACACAUUUGUUCAUUCAAUCAUUGUGUACUCAGACACCAACUUAAUAAAUUUACAGUUUUAUUAUCUAUUAUAUACAAUUUUAUAAUUUAGUAUAACAUACAAAAUUUUGCAAUUUACUAUAACAAAUAAGUUAUGAAGAAAUUUAUAAUUUAUUACAUAAAUAACAUUGAAGACCUCACUGAAUUACAGUCACUCCGUUCUCCUCCUUCCCUACCCAGAGACUACCACUAACCUCUAUUGGUUGUUUAACAUUCAAACAUAUUGUAUCAGUUAGUGUUCCAGCAGAGAAACAGAAACACUAUGAGUGAUAUGGAAUUGGGGAUUUAUGAUAGGGAUUUGAUUUUACAUGGUUGUAGAUGCUGUCGAAGAAGUGGAAGCUUAUUGCCUCUGCAUCUGGGCCUGAAGUCUUGUAGGUUAGUAGGUCUGACAGUCAAGAACACGAGCCAGACAUGAAGUGGGGCAGAACAAGGACAAACCAGAACAUAAGUUAGUCCCUCACUGCCUCCAGGCUUGGUGAUCCUGGUGAAAUAGAAGGAGCUGCUGCCCUUUGCCGUGGAGCCACACACACACCCGGCAUUGGACUCAGAGUAAGUGAAGGAGGGUAGCAGGCUUGGAGGAGCUGCAGGCCUGGCUGGUGCUCCAUGCCAACAAGGUGAGCAACAGUCAGAUACAAUAUGUGCAAUCUGUAGUGGCUCCUGGUAACUACAGAAUUCAUACUGACCUUCAGAGCAAAAUGGCUGCCCCACUGAGCACCAUCAAUUCUCUAAAUGCUGUGUAGUUAUCUAGGGGCCAGCAUUUAACCUCUGCAGGUCGUCCAAAGCUGGAGCUCAUCAGCAGAGACGACCUGCAGAUCUCUUCCUUCACCCUAUUUACUCCCAAAUAUUUCUCUGUGUGGCUCAGUUUUAUAUUUUCUGCAGGACUACUGGGUUGGAUUAAAAAUGGCAACCUCUGAAACAUUUUCUCCUUUAAUCAUUUGUCAGUGGAGAGUGGGUGGUGAAAAAUGAGAAUCAAUGCAGUGCCUACAUUGUCCUGAGGGUGAACUGAGAUGAUUAUGAUGUACUUAGUUCAGUGAGAGGCAUACAGUAAGUGCUCAAUAAAUAGUGGUCAAUAUAAAUGUUAAUAUUAUUAUUGCACUUAAAAUUUCUUCUGCUUCUACUUGUGUGUCUCAUUAUUCAACUAUACAUUUCUUGAAUUUAGGAUCUGUGGCCGAUUCAGUCCUAUAUCCUCAGAAGCCUAGCUUAGAGCCUGACCUAUUUAGAGAUUCAAUACCUGGAGAUUGUAUUGAAAAUGACUUCAUAAGACUCUUUCCUGGGAUCAAUUUUUAGAAGGAGGAGAGAGAUGUAUGAAGAUACUGGGCACAUAAGAAUGAAGGGGGCACUGGGGAAAGAAAUACUCAAAUGUCAAUCAUACUGUUUGCAUGAAUUUUGUGAUGUUAGAUCUCAAGAUGUACUUGACUUAUUCUGUAGAUGGUGUUGGUACCAUUGGCUAAUGCUUUAGACGAAAUAGAGUUAUAUCCCUAUCUAACACCAUAUGGUAAAAGGAAUUCCAAGUGGAUUAAAUAUUUAAAUGGAAAAAUUAAAGCCAUCAAAGUUUGGAGGAAAAUGGGUAGGGAUGAGUAUGUGACCUUGGAGCAACGUUUCCUAAGCAUGUCACCAAAGAGGGAUUGCAUAAAAGAUUUAAUCUUGUAAAAAUAAGAACAAAAAUCUGUAUUUAAAGAUCUUGAUGAACUAAAGAGGAAAAGAACAAAUUGUAAUGACAUUUGCAAAAUAUAUGACUGUGUUAAUAUUCCUAACAUGUUAGAGACUCUAAUAAACCAGUAUGAAAAAUAUAAACAAAUCAAUAGAAAAAUGGACAAAGAGCAUGCACAGCCACUUCUAUAUACUGCAGGUGGAACCAUACCUGGUAGAUGGGUACCAUCUUUCUGGAAAGCAAAUUUGCAUCAAAAGCCUUGAAUAUGUAUUUAUAUUUUGCCCUAGGAAUUUCAAUUUAAGGAAUUUAUAAUACUGUAUCCAAAGAUUUAACUGUAAGAACAUUUAUCAAAGUGUCGUUUGUAAGCAGAAUUACAAUUCUAUUUCCCAAAUGACUAUAGUGGCCUUCCUGACAUUUGCAUUUUAGUUCUCUGGGUGUUGCCUAGGUCAGUGUGAAUCGUUACACGAUAGAUUUAUACAUCAGCAUCACAAGCUUGGUUAAUGUGCGUCUUCUCCUGAGAUCUAUUUGGGCAUAUGAAGGAAACAUGUUUCUGAGCCUAUAUGUUUGAGAAUUCAGAUGCUGGAAUUC